GAGAGCCGGAUGCACAACGAAAGGUGCAAGUCCGGUUCGGAGAGCAGGCGUGGGAGACGGGCGGUGGAGACACCGCACCGCGCCCACGUCUGACUCUAC
This 99-nucleotide non-coding RNA is filed under the name Novosphingobium sp. ST904. The record is from RNAcentral. Lineage: Bacteria; Pseudomonadati; Pseudomonadota; Alphaproteobacteria; Sphingomonadales; Sphingomonadaceae.